This 472-nucleotide ribosomal RNA is filed under the name uncultured bacterium. RNAcentral's name for it is "bacterial SSU rRNA". It matches the Rfam family "Bacterial small subunit ribosomal RNA", at positions 1 to 524 of the family's 1533-position model. The record is from RNAcentral.
UAGAGUUUGAUCAUGGCUCAGAGCGAACGCUGGCGGCAUGCUUAACACAUGCAAGUCGCACGAAGGCUUCGGCCUUAGUGGCGGACGGGUGAGUAACGCGUAGGAAUCUAUCCAUGGGUGGGGGAUAACACUGGGAAACUGGUGCUAAUACCGCAUGAUACCUGAGGGUCAAAGGCGCAAGUCGCCUGUGGAGGAGCCUGCGUUCGAUUAGCUAGUUGGUGGGGAAAGGCCUACCAAGGCGAUGAUCGAUAGCUGGUUUGAGAGGAUGAUCUGCCACACUGGGACUGAGACAAGGCCCAGACUCCUACGGGAGGCAGCAGUGGGGAAUAUUGGACAAUGGGGGCAACCCUGAUCCAGCAAUGCCGCGUGUGUGAAGAAGGUCUUCGGAUUGUAAAGCACUUUCGACGGGGACGAUGAUGACGGUACCCGUAGAAGAAGCCCCGGCUAACUUCGUGCCAGCAGCCGCGGUAAU